GACGAACGCUGGCGGCGUGCUUAACACAUGCAAGUCGAACGGAAAGGCCCUGCUUGCAGGGUACUCGAGUGGCGAACGGGUGAGUAACACGUGGGUGAUCUGCCCUGCACUUCGGGAUAAGCCUGGGAAACUGGGUCUAAUACCGGAUAGGAGCCAUUUUUAGUGUGAUGGUUGGAAAGUUUUUUCGGUGUAGGAUGAGCUCGCGGCCUAUCAGCUUGUUGGUGGGGUAAUGGCCUACCAAGGCGGCGGCGGGUAGCCGGCCUGAGAGGGUGGACGGCCACAUUGGGACUGAGAUACGGCCCAGACUCCUACGGGAGGCAGCAGUGGGGAAUAUUGCACAAUGGGCGCAAGCCUGAUGCAGCGACGCCGCGUGGGGGAUGACGGCCUUCGGGUUGUAAACUCCUUUCGCUAGGGACGAAGCUUUUUGUGACGGUACCUAGAGAAGAAGCACCGGCUAACUAUGUG
This 465-nucleotide ribosomal RNA is filed under the name uncultured bacterium. Its description in RNAcentral is "partial 16S ribosomal RNA". It matches the Rfam family "Bacterial small subunit ribosomal RNA", at positions 28 to 507 of the family's 1533-position model. The record is from RNAcentral.